RNAcentral lists this unclassified non-coding RNA (396 nucleotides) under Hevea brasiliensis (rubber tree). The record is from RNAcentral. Lineage: Eukaryota; Viridiplantae; Streptophyta; Magnoliopsida; Malpighiales; Euphorbiaceae.
AAACUAAGGCAAAACUAAAAUAUCUGCAGCAACUUCUUCCGAAGGCUUCCAAGCCAUUUCAUUGGGGCUAUGGCGAUUGCUUCAUCUGCAGAUAGUUCUUCUAUUUGAUCAACCACAGUGGUUUCUUGAUUCCUUAAUUCGCCCAUUUUUGUAUCAUCUUUAGCUUCAGAUUCUUUCACACCACUAUCUGGUUUCACUGUUAUCUUUAUCGGUUUACCAAGCUUCGAUUUAUCUUCCAUUCGUGCAUUUUCAAGAGCCUUUGGACAUACAGGAAACCCCUGAUCAUCCCACGAUUCUAAAAUCACACCUGACCCAAUGCACCUCCUUCCCUUAUAAAAGGCUGCAAACUGGCCUGCUGCAAGGCCUUGGUCGUCUUCGCUUAGGUGGACAAUGCCA